This 2894-nucleotide ribosomal RNA is filed under the name Escherichia coli. RNAcentral's name for it is "bacterial LSU rRNA". It matches the Rfam family "Bacterial large subunit ribosomal RNA". The record is from RNAcentral. Lineage: Bacteria; Pseudomonadati; Pseudomonadota; Gammaproteobacteria; Enterobacterales; Enterobacteriaceae.
ACUAAGCGUACACGGUGGAUGCCCUGGCAGUCAGAGGCGAUGAAGGACGUGCUAAUCUGCGAUAAGCGUCGGUAAGGUGAUAUGAACCGUUAUAACCGGCGAUUUCCGAAUGGGGAAACCCAGUGUGAUUCGUCACACUAUCAUUAACUGAAUCCAUAGGUUAAUGAGGCGAACCGGGGGAACUGAAACAUCUAAGUACCCCGAGGAAAAGAAAUCAACCGAGAUUCCCCCAGUAGCGGCGAGCGAACGGGGAGCAGCCCAGAGCCUGAAUCAGUGUGUGUGUUAGUGGAAGCGUCUGGAAAGGCGCGCGAUACAGGGUGACAGCCCCGUACACAAAAAUGCACAUGCUGUGAGCUCGAUGAGUAGGGCGGGACACGUGGUAUCCUGUCUGAAUAUGGGGGGACCAUCCUCCAAGGCUAAAUACUCCUGACUGACCGAUAGUGAACCAGUACCGUGAGGGAAAGGCGAAAAGAACCCCGGCGAGGGGAGUGAAAAAGAACCUGAAACCGUGUACGUACAAGCAGUGGGAGCCUCUUUAUGGGGUGACUGCGUACCUUUUGUAUAAUGGGUCAGCGACUUAUAUUCUGUAGCAAGGUUAACCGAAUAGGGGAGCCGAAGGGAAACCGAGUCUUAACUGGGCGUUAAGUUGCAGGGUAUAGACCCGAAACCCGGUGAUCUAGCCAUGGGCAGGUUGAAGGUUGGGUAACACUAACUGGAGGACCGAACCGACUAAUGUUGAAAAAUUAGCGGAUGACUUGUGGCUGGGGGUGAAAGGCCAAUCAAACCGGGAGAUAGCUGGUUCUCCCCGAAAGCUAUUUAGGUAGCGCCUCGUGAAUUCAUCUCCGGGGGUAGAGCACUGUUUCGGCAAGGGGGUCAUCCCGACUUACCAACCCGAUGCAAACUGCGAAUACCGGAGAAUGUUAUCACGGGAGACACACGGCGGGUGCUAACGUCCGUCGUGAAGAGGGAAACAACCCAGACCGCCAGCUAAGGUCCCAAAGUCAUGGUUAAGUGGGAAACGAUGUGGGAAGGCCCAGACAGCCAGGAUGUUGGCUUAGAAGCAGCCAUCAUUUAAAGAAAGCGUAAUAGCUCACUGGUCGAGUCGGCCUGCGCGGAAGAUGUAACGGGGCUAAACCAUGCACCGAAGCUGCGGCAGCGACGCUUAUGCGUUGUUGGGUAGGGGAGCGUUCUGUAAGCCUGCGAAGGUGUACUGUGAGGUAUGCUGGAGGUAUCAGAAGUGCGAAUGCUGACAUAAGUAACGAUAAAGCGGGUGAAAAGCCCGCUCGCCGGAAGACCAAGGGUUCCUGUCCAACGUUAAUCGGGGCAGGGUGAGUCGACCCCUAAGGCGAGGCCGAAAGGCGUAGUCGAUGGGAAACAGGUUAAUAUUCCUGUACUUGGUGUUACUGCGAAGGGGGGACGGAGAAGGCUAUGUUGGCCGGGCGACGGUUGUCCCGGUUUAAGCGUGUAGGCUGGUUUUCCAGGCAAAUCCGGAAAAUCAAGGCUGAGGCGUGAUGACGAGGCACUACGGUGCUGAAGCAACAAAUGCCCUGCUUCCAGGAAAAGCCUCUAAGCAUCAGGUAACAUCAAAUCGUACCCCAAACCGACACAGGUGGUCAGGUAGAGAAUACCAAGGCGCUUGAGAGAACUCGGGUGAAGGAACUAGGCAAAAUGGUGCCGUAACUUCGGGAGAAGGCACGCUGAUACGUAGGUGAAGCGACUUGCUCGUGGAGCUGAAAUCAGUCGAAGAUACCAGCUGGCUGCAACUGUUUAUUAAAAACACAGCACUGUGCAAACACGAAAGUGGACGUAUACGGUGUGACGCCUGCCCGGUGCCGGAAGGUUAAUUGAUGGGGUUAGCGGUAACGCGAAGCUCUUGAUCGAAGCCCCGGUAAACGGCGGCCGUAACUAUAACGGUCCUAAGGUAGCGAAAUUCCUUGUCGGGUAAGUUCCGACCUGCACGAAUGGCGUAAUGAUGGCCAGGCUGUCUCCACCCGAGACUCAGUGAAAUUGAACUCGCUGUGAAGAUGCAGUGUACCCGCGGCAAGACGGAAAGACCCCGUGAACCUUUACUAUAGCUUGACACUGAACAUUGAGCCUUGAUGUGUAGGAUAGGUGGGAGGCUUUGAAGUGUGGACGCCAGUCUGCAUGGAGCCGACCUUGAAAUACCACCCUUUAAUGUUUGAUGUUCUAACGUUGGCCCCUAAUCGGGGUUGCGGACAGUGUCUGGUGGGUAGUUUGACUGGGGCGGUCUCCUCCUAAAGAGUAACGGAGGAGCACGAAGGUUGGCUAAUCCUGGUCGGACAUCAGGAGGUUAGUGCAAUGGCAUAAGCCAGCUUGACUGCGAGCGUGACGGCGCGAGCAGGUGCGAAAGCAGGUCAUAGUGAUCCGGUGGUUCUGAAUGGAAGGGCCAUCGCUCAACGGAUAAAAGGUACUCCGGGGAUAACAGGCUGAUACCGCCCAAGAGUUCAUAUCGACGGCGGUGUUUGGCACCUCGAUGUCGGCUCAUCACAUCCUGGGGCUGAAGUAGGUCCCAAGGGUAUGGCUGUUCGCCAUUUAAAGUGGUACGCGAGCUGGGUUUAGAACGUCGUGAGACAGUUCGGUCCCUAUCUGCCGUGGGCGCUGGAGAACUGAGGGGGGCUGCUCCUAGUACGAGAGGACCGGAGUGGACGCAUCACUGGUGUUCGGGUUGUCAUGCCAAUGGCACUGCCCGGUAGCUAAAUGCGGAAGAGAUAAGUGCUGAAAGCAUCUAAGCACGAAACUUGCCCCGAGAUGAGUUCUCCCUGACUCCCUGAGAGUCCUGAAGGAACGUUGAAGACGACGACGUUGAUAGGCCGGGUGUGUAAGCGCAGCGAUGCGUUGAGCUAACCGGUACUAAUGAACCGUGAGGCUUAACC